GCACCGGAUUGGCUGCUGACGUGGUUCUCUCGUGAGGUGUGAUCCGUUUUCUAGAAAAAGGCUAUAAAUAACGGGUGAAUAUGUAUUGCUGCAUGAACUGCACUAUACUGCGCUGAAGCUUAACAUAUCAACAGAAUGAUCUUUUCUGAGGGGAGUGAUGAAGAGGAUGAAGAUGAUGAUGAAGAAGAUGAUGGAGGUGCUGAAGUAAUUGAAUGCCGCCAAGGGUAGGCAACUGCUUCAGACCUUGAUGCAGCCAGUGUUGAGAAACACCCAAUAGUACGCUGGAUCCAUGAACUGUGUGUACUUGCUGAUAAAAGCAAGCAGCAGCCAAAGAAACACACAGCUUCUUUUGUGACAAAUGUCACAACCCAAGCACCUCCCGCGCCAUGUGUGUCCAUGGCAAACCUGACACGUAGACCAUGAUCCUCCAUAGGAACGAUGGACCUCGCAACUUACCCGCUGUGCAGUGGCAGCACCAUCGCUUUUCUUCAGACUGGCUCUGCUUUUGUGUCUGUUUUGUGCAACCCUGAAGAAACCAUGGAGAGAAGAAUGAAAUGUACAUGGAGAGGUGAUGACCUGAUGGUUAAAGAGCUGCUUUUCCAGAGGUUGGAAGAUGUGAGCCAGUUAUUUCUGUCAUCACAAUCGUCCUCAUCAAUCACCAUUGUGCCAUUGAGCAACGCACAUGACUCCAAUUUCUUUCCGCAGGACUAACUUUUUCUGCAACAGGUCUACAGUAGUCAAACAUCCAUUAAAAUACAAACAGAGAUGGGCUGGAUGGGCAUUUUGAAAAUGUACCAAUGGAUGUACUAUGUUGCUCACAAAUGGGAGGUCAAUGCCCCUUUGAAGCCCAGGUGUAUUUGUUGUAAGGAUAUUCAGACUAUGGCUGCUUGAUUCAAAGCUCUCCAGUAUAACUAACAGAAGGUUUCUGGAGCAGCGGAUCAGGGUCAGUGCUAAUAGCCCACUGUUUUAUUUUUUUUAUUUUUAUUUUUUUAGCUCACUUGUUUCAACGUCAGUGGCACUUGGCUAUAGAGAGCAUGCUAAUAGCGAGAUGGCAUGUUCACCAGGAUAGGGUUCACAGGCACAAUGAUUCUGCAAGUUGUGCUGACUUUGUUGAAUCCACUGGUUUAGAUACCUUACUUACACUACACAAUAUGACACACAGUGCUAAAUCUCACGCACAGGUGUUAUUGCAGUGCUGUUGAACAAAAGUUACACAACAUAUGUAACAUACCUGUAAUGGGAUAUGAUCUCAUACAGAACAUGGUCCUAUUCAAAGGACCUAUACAGGUCUAGCCCCGAAAUGAAGCCUAAUAAAUGUGACACAACAUCAGAGGCCUCAUUCCUAUUGAGCACUAAUUAGAUAAUUGGUUGUGUGGCGAAGGAAUCACUAGAAAGUUGUGCAUUUAGUUUUUACAUUGAUGUUCUUCAAAAUGUCAUGAUUGCAGAUGGAUUUCUGUGCAUUUGUCUGCCAGAAUGCACAACAGUCUAAUGAGCUACACGGAAACUUCCUCUAAGUAUGUUAUGUAUCCAAGUA
This is a long non-coding RNA of Pimephales promelas (fathead minnow), 1534 nucleotides long. RefSeq lists it as uncharacterized. NCBI's taxonomy places the organism in Eukaryota, Metazoa, Chordata, Actinopteri, Cypriniformes, Leuciscidae. The record is from RefSeq and is a predicted model, not a curated record.